This 793-nucleotide long non-coding RNA is filed under the name Pongo abelii (Sumatran orangutan). RNAcentral's name for it is "lincRNA". Lineage: Eukaryota; Metazoa; Chordata; Mammalia; Primates; Hominidae. The record is from RNAcentral.
CUGUCAUAUGCACAGUUAAAACAACUUGUCCUCCCAGGACCUUUUGCAGUUAGGGUUGGUCAUGUGACAUGGUCCUGCCAGGAAGAUACGGAUAGAAGUCUGUGGGCCACCAGUGGAUUGAAUGAUGCCCAUAUGCACUGAGAAGGGCCAUGUGUUUACUCGGUCUACCAAUUGAAAUGUUAAUCUCAUCCAAAAACACCCUCACAGAUAUGUUUGGAAUGAUGUUUAACCAAAUAUUUGGGUACCAUCUUCCCCAGUGAAGUUGACACAAAAUUAACCAUCACAGCUGCCUUCCUCUGGGCCUCAUGUUAUAUGAGAACAGUAUUGGUGCAGGUUCUUCAGCUUUGCUGGAGUAUGUAUCGACUUUGCUGGGAGCAUGACUUUGUGCAAGGCAUAAAGGUUAUACCUCUGCAGCUCUUCUACUUUGUCUCUGCCAUCUCUGACCACUCAAGUCAGGUGUACACUUAAAGCAUUCUGGGAAUAUGAAUCCCUUCUGCACCCGGGAUUCACCAGUCCAGCCAUGCAUGGAGCUGGGGAAAGCAGGCCCUGAACUGUCUAGAGAGACUUGGUGGAGGAGGCCACGGCCCGUCUUGUCCCUGCCGGGUCCUGGCCAGGAUUUGAACGUCUAUGACACUCUUCCGAGCUGACACAGUGAAGAACAUGGAAGGAGAACUCACCCAGUCUGCCAGGGUCACAGAUGAUCAUACUCAAGAUCUUCCUGGGGAGUCAACGGCAAAUUUCACUGGGCUACUUUACAGAUGAAGAAGGAAUAUAAAGAAGGUUCUGGGACCCU